AGGGGACCCAUUGACAGAGAAGGUAGCAUUCUUCAUUCUUACAUUCAUUCUUACAUUAUAAGAAGGGAUAUUGGCAAGAUAAUUGGUGUCCUCUUUUGGAAACCUCAAUGUUCCCUCUGCCAUUCCUGAUUUUUGUGUGUCAGUGGGGUGGGGGGAGGGGCGCUUUGAGCAGAAGAAAGGACUUCUCUGGGAAUGCCUUGUCACUCCCAAGUUGAGAGAGUAAAACUCUGUUAUAGAAGUCUUCAGUAUAUCAGAGACAUGAAAAAGAAGGGUUCCCAUGCUUCCAAUUAGAUAUAGGACAUUAGUCUCACCAUCACCUAGGAAGCUUCUAUACUGGCUGUGAUGCUUGGUCCCAGCAUAAGCCCUGUAACUGCUUGUCAGGAUGCAAAGAGCACUGUAGGAGCAGUAAGGAGACUGUGCUGGUGUGUCUGUUCUGCUCUGAACUAAUGUAGGUAAUGGUGUGUUUUCAAGCAAAGUUACUUGACCUCCCUCAGCCACCAUUUCCACAUCUGUGAAAUAAAAGUGAUGAUCUUCCUGACCCCCUGAGUUGACAUCUGGGGCUCAGAUGUAACCCUAACCGUAACCCUUUAUGACCCUCUGAGUUGACAUCUGGCUCUCAGCUUGUUGCUCUGGUGUGGCUGAGUGGCUCUGCCAUCUCAGUGGGCCUUGCCUCUCCCUGGUCAGACUGCAGCACAAGCUGGUUCUCCUGCAGCAACAGUGUGAAGAGAAACAGCAGCUCUUUGAGUCCCUCCAGUCAGAGUUACAAAUCUAUGAGGCACUUUAUGGCAAUUCCAAGAAGGGGCUGAAAGAUUCAGCUGUGUCCCCUCCAGUCCGGGAUGUUGGUAUGAAUUCCCCAGCUCUGGUCCUCCCCAGCUCUGCUUCCUCUACUCCUGGCUCAGAAACGGCCAUAAUCAACAGAACACAUGGUAAAUAUGGCAACUAAAGGGCCCAGGGACUGAUGUUGGAAAGUGAUUAAUGCAAACAACCUUUUGUUGUCUCUAAACAUAUUAUCUGUAUUUAGAGAGUUUUCUCUGCAUGCCCCAAGGCCUUUAGCCCUACUCCCUGCACCUUCUGUGGCUGCCUUUCUUGCCAUUGUUCAUCCUCCUGUAGUUUUCCUACUGCUGUUUUUGCUUCAUUGUGCCAUAGUUUUUUC
RNAcentral lists this long non-coding RNA (1153 nucleotides) under Pan troglodytes (chimpanzee). Its description in RNAcentral is "lncRNA (ENSPTRG00000053363.1)". The record is from RNAcentral. Lineage: Eukaryota; Metazoa; Chordata; Mammalia; Primates; Hominidae.